This 253-nucleotide ribosomal RNA is filed under the name uncultured bacterium. Its description in RNAcentral is "partial 16S ribosomal RNA". It matches the Rfam family "Bacterial small subunit ribosomal RNA", at positions 524 to 776 of the family's 1533-position model. The record is from RNAcentral.
GACGUAGGGGGCAAGCGUUGUCCGGAUUUAUUGGGCGUAAAGAGCGUGUAGGCGGCCGCACAGGUCCGCUGUGAAAACUGGAGGCUCAACCUCCAGACGUCGACGUAAACCGUGUGGCUAGAGUCCGGAAGAGGAGAGUGGAAUUCCUGGUGUAGCGGUGAAAUGCGUAGAUAUCAGGAGGCACCCCUGCGGUGUAGACGGCUUACUGGACCAUGCCUGACGCUGAGGCACGAAAGCGUGGGGAGCAAACAGG